UGCCAGCAGUCGCGGUUAGACCGAGAAAUUAAGUCAUAUAAGAAUGGUAAAAAGACAGUUAGACGUAAAUUGAUUUGAAGUUUUAUCUGAUUUUCUUAUAGAAAAGUAAAAUUUAUAUAUAAGAAUAUAAUUUAAUUGAAAACUAUGAAGUUGAAUCUGUGAUGCCCUGGAGGGAAACUGGGAUUAGAUACCCCAUUAUUCCUGGAUGUAAACUAAACUUAAAUUUACCAGAGUACUAUGAAUAACAUAAAAUUUAAAACUCAAAGGACUUGGCGGUAUUUUAGACCAUUUAGGGGAACCUGUCUCGUAAUCGAUAGUCCACGUUGUACCUAACCUUUUUUUGCUUUCAGCUUGUAUAUCGUUGUCGUCAGGUAACUUUUUAGAAACUAGAAGUUAGCUAAAAAUAGUGAAUUUAAACGUCAAAUCAAGGUGCAGUUAAUAAAAAGGGGAAGAUGGGUUACAAUUAUUUCAAUUAUAACUACGGAAAAUCACAGAAAUUGGUGAUUCAAAGGAGGACUUAAAAGUAAAUUAGAAUACAUAAAUAAUUUGAAUAAGGCUCUGAGAUGUGCACACAUCGCCCGCCACUCU
RNAcentral lists this ribosomal RNA (588 nucleotides) under Iotyrris cerithiformis. Its description in RNAcentral is "partial 12S ribosomal RNA". The record is from RNAcentral. Lineage: Eukaryota; Metazoa; Mollusca; Gastropoda; Neogastropoda; Turridae.